AGCAGCCGCGGUAAUUCCAGCUCCAAUAGCGUAUAUUAAAGUUGUUGCAGUUAAAAAGCUCGUAGUUGAAUUUCGGGAUUAGUACGCUGGUCGUGCCUUCGGUAUGUACUGGUGUUACUGGUUCCUACCUUCUGACGAACCGUCAUGUCAUUAAUUUGGUGUGGCGGGAAAUCAGGACUGUUACUUUGAAAAAAUUAGAGUGUUUAAAGCAGGCUCGCGCUUGAAUACAUUAGCAUGGAAUAAUGAAAUAGGACGUUCGAUCCUAUUUUGUUGGUUUCUAGGAUUGACGUAAUGAUUAAUAGGGAUAGUUGGGGGCAUUAGUAUUCAAUUGUCAGAGGUGAAAUUCUUGGAUUUAUUGAAGACUAACUACUGCGAAAGCAUUUGCCAAGGAUGUUUUCAUUAAUCAAGAACGAAAGUUAGGGGAUCGAAGACGAUCAGAUACCGUCAUAGUCUUAACCAUAAACUAUGCCGACUAGGGAUCGGAUGAUGUUAUUUUUAAUGACUCAUUCGGCGCCUUACG
RNAcentral lists this ribosomal RNA (520 nucleotides) under uncultured Glomus. Its description in RNAcentral is "SSU rRNA". It matches the Rfam family "Eukaryotic small subunit ribosomal RNA", at positions 569 to 1092 of the family's 1831-position model. The record is from RNAcentral. Lineage: Eukaryota; Fungi; Glomeromycota; Glomeromycetes; Glomerales; Glomeraceae.